GGAAGGAUGGACGAGCAAGGCAAGUCGCCGUACUGAUAAUGCGGUUGUCCGAAAGGGCACGGGGGUUCGAAUCCCCCUCCUUCCG
RNAcentral lists this transfer RNA (85 nucleotides) under Nitrososphaerota archaeon. RNAcentral's name for it is "Thaumarchaeota archaeon tRNA-Ile". It matches the Rfam family "tRNA". From Rfam's summary of the family: Transfer RNA (tRNA) molecules are approximately 80 nucleotides in length. Their secondary structure includes four short double-helical elements and three loops (D, anti-codon, and T loops). Lineage: Archaea; Thermoproteati; Nitrososphaerota. RNAcentral also lists the same sequence under 1 other name. The record is from RNAcentral.